This 2660-nucleotide unclassified non-coding RNA is filed under the name Exaiptasia diaphana. Its description in RNAcentral is "uncharacterized LOC110239466, transcript variant X2". Lineage: Eukaryota; Metazoa; Cnidaria; Anthozoa; Actiniaria; Aiptasiidae. The record is from RNAcentral.
UCAAGUCAUCAUUUAGAAAGAAGAGAAAUGGGUGUCCAUUAUCUACAGGAACAUCCUGAACGAUUCAUAGAAAGCAUAAUACAUGUACCAUGGUCACAGUAUUUAUCUAACAUGUCCGUACAAAGUACAUGGGCUGACCAUNUAGUUGUACAAGCAGUAGCUGAUGCAAUGAAUUUAAGGAUUAAUAUCAUUGAAUCCGAUCAGAAUUUUAGUGAAUUAACGAUAGUUGAACCAGCAACUACACUAUCAAAUNCCAGGUCGAUACAUAUAGGACACAUAGGUCAAAUGCAUUAUGUCUNGACAUGUCAAAUCAACAGUGUUGAUAAUAGUAUGACAGAUGANUCAANUGAAUCACAAAGAAAUGAUUUACAAACAGAAACGAUGAUUGAAAACAAUAAUCUAGUUAAAGAGUCAUCCAGUAAUGAAUGUACAAUUCAAAGCAAACCACUUCAUAAUUCUAAGAAUAGAAAUAGAAAGAUAUACAUGAAACAGUAUAUGCAAAAAUACAGACAAAGCUGUACAUCUCCACAGAAAAAAGCAAAGAAAAAUGAAAAUCAAAGAAAUUAUCGUAAAGCUAAUGUAACUCCAGAGAAAAAAGCAAAACGAAAUGAAAAUCAAAGAAAUUAUCGUAAAGCUAAUGUAACUCCAGAGAAAAAAGCAAAACGAAAUGAAAAUCAAAGAAAUUAUCGUAAAGCUAAUGUAACUCCAGAGAAAAAAGCAAAACGAAAUGAAAAUCAAAGAAAUUAUCGUAAAGCUAAUGUAACUCCAGAGAAAAAAGCAAAACGAAAUGAAAAUCAAAGAAAUUAUCGUAAAGCUAAUGUAACUCCAGAAAAGAAAUCAAAACGAAAUGAAUAUCAAAGAAAAUAUAGAAAAGCUAAUCUAACUCCAGAUAAAACAGCAAAACGAAAUGAAUAUGAAAAAAAUAUCGUAAAGCUAAUGUAACUCCACAGCAAAAAGCAAAACGCAAUGAAUAUCAAAGAAAAUAUAGAAAAGCUAAAUCCUUGACAGUUGAGUGCAUGAUCAAAAAAUUUCAUGAAUUAGUUAAUGAAGGACCAGUAUAUAUUUGUACAUGCUGUGAGCAAUUAUGGUAUAAACAUAGUGUACAUUGUGCUUAUAAACUUAGACAGACUAAUCCUGACAUUGAAAAGUAUCUUCGUGAUAUGUCAUAGUCACUUAAUCAAAAACAAACUUCCACCUUGUGCAAUAGCUAAUGGUAUGGCAUUUCCACAAAAACCAGACUUCUUUGAUCUUAACGAGUUAGAAUGUAGAUUACUAGCACCAAGAAUUGCGUUUCAAAAAUUUAUGCAAGCUCCUAGAGGUAAACAGCUUAAGAUUCAUGGUAAUGUUGUGAAUGUACCUGCUGAUGUUAAUGAUACAGUAAGGAUGUUGCCACGGGUAAACAGCCAAACAUCAACAAUCAAAAUAAACUUAAAAAGAAAGCUUCAAUAUAAAAGUUCAGCUUUAUCAUUAAAUGUACGGCCAUAUAAGGUCAUUGAAGCAGCAAACUGGUUGAUAAACAAUAGCAAUCUUUAUAAAAAUGAAGGUAUUCAAUUAGAUUCGGAAUGGAUACAUAAAUNCAAAGUAGAAAUAACACAAAAUGAAACGGAUGAAGAUCAUGAUGUUAAUAAUUGUUUCAGUUCACAAUCACAACACAACGAUGAAAUUAAUUUGCACUGACACUAUUAUUUCAGAUGAAGAAAAUGAAGCUAAUGAAAGAUGAAGGAGAAUCACCAGAUGGUACUACUGAUACCAUGUUGACUUCAGCUGAUUUUGUUGAAGAUAAUGAACACCACCAUAUUCUUAAUGUUGCUCCAGCUGAAGUUAUCACAACACAACGAAUAACUCCAAUACUCCAAAACAGAAAAACUCAAAGUAAGUUUAACAUCAACAUCUUUCAUUCAAACAUUCCUCAUGUCAUAAACUUCACUCAGUCUUCUUUCAUUUAUAUAGNACUGCCAAUAUUCAAGGCACCUGCACUGAUGAACAAGAUCUUGAAGAUUAUAUAUCAGAAACAUGUACUCCAAACUACUCAAGUUAAACAUGUUAUUACACUUCAAUAACAGCAUAAAUGUUUAUCAGAAUUUUGUGGAAAGAGGUUGCCAAUAAUGAUUAGUAAUACUGUAUCACAAAAAAUUCAUCAAAGAGAUUCCCAAAAAACAUUGGAGAAUGUACAAUUCCAAAAACUGCAAGAAUUCUAUCAACAUCUGGCAUUCCCAUAUAACAGUUACACAGACAAUAGACUACAGUUGUAAACAAACCAUAGAACAAAUGUCUACAAUAAGAUAGACCUUAAGGUAAAAGUUUCACCAAACAAGAACACAAUCAAGUUGUUAAAUGGAAAACGUCAUACAAAUGUCUGUGCAUUAUAUCUGAUUCUAGUGAAUCAAUUAAUAUUGUACUUUGGCGUCAAACCAUACACAAAGUUUAUACGUCAAGCCAAACGUCACCUUUUCCGUAAUCUAACAGGAUGGUACAAAAUUUGUUAAGAAUUGACCACCAUAAAAGAACCAUACAUUAUUGAUACGAUACUAUUCUCCACAUUAAUCCUUUAAAAAUAUCAUUGAUAUGCUAUGCAAGUUCUACAGUUUUCUUAUAUUGUAUGUUGACGUAUACAGUUACAUUGUAUUUGAAAAUUAUCAUUAAACAGAUGUUUUUGAAUU